Molecule: long non-coding RNA, 648 nt
Organism: Patella vulgata (common limpet)
Lineage: Eukaryota; Metazoa; Mollusca; Gastropoda; Patellidae
Exons: 2
Source: RefSeq, a predicted model, not a curated record
AGAUACUGGUGUUAUUGCUGGAAGCGUCGUAGGUUCUAUUCUUCUGGUCAUAUUAGUUAUCAUUGUUGUUGUCGUCAUAUUAAAACGAAAGAAGGGCAUAUGUUACAAAGAAGAUGGUAUCUCCAACACAGUGUACGAAACACCGACUGGUUUCAACAACGACGCCUCGCCCUACACCGAUUUAACAGUGAGUAACCACAGUGGAAAUGGAGACCAGCCUAAAUAUGAAAAUGUCUUCCGUUUAGAUUAGCAAGAUCAUGGUGAUGCAACGGAUCAAAGUACUUUGUCCCUGUCCAUGUGUAUUACAUCUACUAUAAUUGGUUUACAGUGAUUGGCAAUAAUAAACUGCAAAUGCUUUGACUGUACUAAAGAAGCCCGACAUACGUCAUGCAGUGUGCUUUAUGGGACAUUUGGUGGGACAGCGGCGCUACGAUCUACUUUUAUAUCGAAUUCUAUAUGCUAAGGGUUCCAUGCCAGUGGUCGUGCUUUCGAUUCUCCACAUGAGCAUUCUGUCGUAUUUGAUCUACAUGCAAAUAUGUGAUAUGUUGUGUGAUCGUUCGUAUAUCUGGGGAGGCCUAGAUUGUUGUUCUGUCAUGUGGUGUUUCAUGUUUAAAUUUUUUGCCUGUGGACUUGGUAGUUUCAAAUUGC